This 587-nucleotide ribosomal RNA is filed under the name uncultured bacterium. RNAcentral's name for it is "partial 16S ribosomal RNA". It matches the Rfam family "Bacterial small subunit ribosomal RNA", at positions 355 to 1375 of the family's 1533-position model. The record is from RNAcentral.
UGGGGAAUUUUGGACAAUGGGCGAAAGCCUGAUCCAGCAAUGCCGCGUGUGUGAAGAAGGCCUUCGGGCUGUAAAGCACUUUUGUCCGGAAAGAAAUCCUUGGCUCUAAUACAGUCGGGGGAUGACGGUACCGGAAGAAUAAGCACCGGCUAACUACGUGCCAGCAGCCGCGGUAAUACGUAGGGUGCAAGCGUUAAUCGGAAUUACUGGGCGUAAAGCGUGCGCAGGCGGUUUGCUAAGACCGAUGUGAAAUCCCCGGGCUCAACCUGGGAACUGCAUUGGUGACUGGCAGGCUAGAGUAUGGCAGAGGGGGGUAGAAUUCCACGUGUAGCAGUGAAAUGCGUAGAGAUGUGGAGGAAUACCGAUGGCGAAGGCAGCCCCCUGGGCCAAUACUGACGCUCAUGCACGAAAAGCGUGGGGAGCAAACAGGAUUAGAUACCCUGGUAGUCCACGCCCUAAAACGAUGUCAACUAGUUGUUGGGGAUUCAUUUCCUUAGUAACGUAGCUAACGCGUGAAGUUGACCGCCUGGGGAGUACGGUCGCAAGAUUAAAACUCAAAUGAAUUGACGGGGUCAUAGCUGUUUCCU